This 465-nucleotide ribosomal RNA is filed under the name Vreelandella stevensii. RNAcentral describes it as "partial 16S ribosomal RNA". It matches the Rfam family "Bacterial small subunit ribosomal RNA", at positions 338 to 795 of the family's 1533-position model. The record is from RNAcentral. Lineage: Bacteria; Pseudomonadati; Pseudomonadota; Gammaproteobacteria; Oceanospirillales; Halomonadaceae.
CCUACGGGGGGCUGCAGUGGGGAAUAUUGGACAAUGGGGGGAACCCUGAUCCAGCCAUGCCGCGUGUGUGAAGAAGGCCCUCGGGUUGUAAAGCACUUUCAGUGAGGAAGAACGCCUGGUGGUUAAUACCCAUCAGGAAAGACAUCACUCACAGAAGAAGCACCGGCUAACUCCGUGCCAGCAGCCGCGGUAAUACGGAGGGUGCGAGCGUUAAUCGGAAUUACUGGGCGUAAAGCGCGCGUAGGUGGCUUGAUAAGCCGGUUGUGAAAGCCCCGGGCUCAACCUGGGAACGGCAUCCGGAACUGUCGAGCUAGCGUGCAGGAGAGGAAGGUAGAAUUCCCGGUGUAGCGGUGAACUGCGUAGAGAUCGGGAGGAAUACCAGUGGCGAAGGCGGCCUUCUGGACUGACACUGACACUGAGGUGCGAAAGCGUGGGUAGCAAACAGGAUUAGAUACCCCAGUAGUC